GAGGGUAUCACUGUACCAUGUGGGGUAGAAGACAGGCAGGGGAUGAAUUUCUUGUUGGGAAGGGGGAACCUCAGGAUUUUCACACUCAACCUGGCCCAUCACAUUUAGGGCAGAAGAGCAAACUCCCCUCAUUCACAGUGUACCUGCCAGGAAUCUUCAAGAAUUCCAGUCUGUUGGAGUCAGAAGAGACUUUACAAAUGGGGAAAUGGACCCAGAGAGGGGCGGUGACUUGUCCAAUGUCACACAGCCAGUGGGUGGCCAGUUUCCCAACUCUAGAGUUCCAGAGUUCUCUCUCCCAUAGCCUUGCUAUUUUGGGUCACUUUACCCAUCUAUCCAUCCAUCCAUCCACCCAAUUUUUACCAAGCAUCUAGUAUAUGCUGAAAAGGAAAAAAGGCGACUAAGUCACAGUCUCCACCUUCAAGAACUCACAGCCUGGGGAGAGGCUAGGGAAGCAGAUACCCAUAAAUUGAAAAUUUAUGUGAGGUGGUAAUUACAGUGAUGGAGUCCACACUAGGACUGGCUGCCAACCAGCUCAGGGUAGUGGGGAGAUGGAGAUCAGGGAGAGCCUUCCAGGUGGGGAGACAUCAGAGCUGGGCCUCUGUAGAAUGGUAGGAGUUAGCCAGGCCAAAAGGAGGCUGGACAAGGAAAGAAUUUUCCAGGCCACAGAUACUGCAUAAGCAAAGCCAGAGAUGAUCCAUAGCCUGGCAGGUACAGGAGCUGGCGUGAAGAGACCAUAAGAGGAAGGCAGGGAUGGCUGGGCGCGGUGGCUCACGCUCGUCAUCCCAGCACUUUGGGAGGCCGAGGCGGGCAGAUCACUUGAGGUCAGGAGUUCGAGGCCAGCCUGGCCAACAUGGUGAAACCACAUCUCUACUAAAAAUACAAAAAUUAGCCGGGCGUGGUGGCAGGCGCCUUGUAAUCCCAGCUACUCGGGAGGCUGAGGAAGGAGAAUCACUUAAACCUGGGCAGCGGAGACUGCAGUGAGCCAAGAUCGCGCCACUGCAUUCCAGCCUGGGCAACAGAGUGAGACUCUGCCUCAAAAAAUAAAUAAAUAAAUAAAAAAUAAAUAAAAGAAAAUAAAAAAAAGAGGAAGGCAGGGAUGAUGGGAGAUGAAGGUGGGGAGUCAGGGAGCUAUGGUGAGGGCUUGUAUUGAUUGUAGGCACCCAAGAAGGCUUUCAGUGGAUGAAUAACCUAGUCAGAUACACAUUUUAAAAAGACACCUCUGGCAGUAGUGUGGAGAAUGGAUGAGCAAGGCCAGAAGGCAGGAAGCAGGCAGGGGAGCCCAGUGAGGAGGUGGCUGCAGCCAUCAGGCAUGAGUAGAUGACCCCUGAACCAAGGCAAAGCAGGAGGGCGGGGUCUGAGAAGGAUGUGUGUUGUACAUUUGGGAGGAGAAGCACCAGGACCGGGCAACUGAUUGGGUGUGGAGAAGAAAAGGGGACGAGUCUGGGAAAAUGCCUGUAUCUGGGCUUAGGUAGCUGAGGGGAUGGCGGGGCCUUCUGAGAUCAGGGAACACUGGAGAAAAAGAACUAGCUUCUUGGGGAAGGGCUGGAAAGGUCCAGUUACUGGGUGCUGCCAGGCAAGGGAAGGCUGGAAAGGGCUGGCCAGUCUCCACGUCCCCGGUGGAAGCCCAC
RNAcentral lists this long non-coding RNA (1628 nucleotides) under Homo sapiens (human). RNAcentral describes it as "HSALNT0175817". The record is from RNAcentral. Lineage: Eukaryota; Metazoa; Chordata; Mammalia; Primates; Hominidae.